GACCCGGAGCUUGCUCUGGUGAUUAGUGGCGAACGGGUGAGUAACACGUGGGCAACCUGCCCCUAGCUCUGGGAUAACUGCGGGAAACUGUAGCUAAUACCGGAUGUGACACGAGACUGCAUGGUCUUCGUGUGGAAAGAUUUUUCGGCUAGGGAUGGGCCCGCGGUCUAUCAGCUUGUUGGUGGGGUAAUGGCUCACCAAGGCGACGACGGAUAACCGGCCUGAGAGGGCGACCGGUCACACUGGGACUGAGACACGGCCCAGACUCCUACGGGAGGCAGCAGUGGGGAAUAUUGCACAAUGGGCGCAAGCCUGAUGCAGCGACGCCGCGUGAGGGAUGACGGCCUUCGGGUUGUAAACCUCUUUCAGUAGGGACGAAGCGAGAGUGACGGUACCUGCAGAAGAAGCGCCGGCCAACUACGUGCCAGCAGCCGCGGUAAUACGUAGGGCGCAAGCGUUGUCCGGAAUUAUUGGGCGUAAAGAGCUCGUAGGCGGUUUGUCACGUCGGCUGUGAAAUCCCGAGGCUCAACCUCGGGCUUGCAGUCGAUACGGGCAGACUAGAGUGGAGCAGGGGAGACUGGAAUUCCUGGUGUAGCGGUGAAAUGCGCAGAUAUCAGGAGGAACACCGAUGGCGAAGGCAGGUCUCUGGGCUUUAACUGACGCUGAGGAGCGAAAGCGUGGGUAGCGAACAGGAUUAGAUACCCUGGUAGUCCACGCCGUANACGGUGGGCGCUAGGUGUGGGGACCAUUCCNCGGUCUCCGUGCCGCAGCUAACGCAUUAAGCGCCCCGCCUGGGGAGUA
This 801-nucleotide ribosomal RNA is filed under the name uncultured bacterium. RNAcentral describes it as "bacterial SSU rRNA". It matches the Rfam family "Bacterial small subunit ribosomal RNA", at positions 70 to 882 of the family's 1533-position model. The record is from RNAcentral.